ACCGGCCUACUUAAGUUAAGCAGCUAACUAAAAUUGUUGGCUGUUUAUAAUUCCAAUAUCAAAAUCCAUCCAUCCUCCUGAUAAAGUGUCUCAUUGUGAUUCCAAUUCUAAUUCCUACCGACAUCACUCUAGAUUCGAUCCAGAACCCAGCCCCAAAAGAUACAGAAAACAUGUAAAACAAGAAAGAGACAGAAAAAAUCCACUUCUAAUGUUGAAAAUCCAGGCCACAGACGUCACCAAGCAGCUGAUCCUACUCAAGGUCCAAGUUAUGGCCAAAUGAGAGCUCCUGGGGAGUCUGUUUUAACCAGUUAUGAAUAUGUUUUAUCAUUUUGGUGAGGAUGAUUGAAACGAUUGCAAUAUUCCUUGCAUUUCAUGUUAAGACAAUUUGCUUUUUCAUGUAUUGCAAGCUACUUGUGUUUUUUGUU
Lathyrus oleraceus (garden pea) is the source of this 425-nucleotide long non-coding RNA. RefSeq lists it as uncharacterized. The record is from RefSeq and is a predicted model, not a curated record. The transcript has 2 exons. NCBI's taxonomy places the organism in Eukaryota, Viridiplantae, Streptophyta, Magnoliopsida, Fabales, Fabaceae.